UACGGAGGGUGCGAGCGUUGUCCGGAAUCACUGGGCGUAAAGGGCGCGUAGGUGGCCUGUGGAAGUCUGCGGUGAAAGCCCGGCGCUCAACGCCGGGUCGGCCGUGGAUACUCUCGGGCUCGAGCUUACUAGAGGCAGAUGGAAUUCCGGGUGUAGCGGUGAAAUGCGUAGAUAUCCGGAGGAACACCGGUGGCGAAGGCGGCUUCCUGGACCGACACUGACGCUGAGGCGCGAAAGCUAGGGGAGCAAACGGG
RNAcentral lists this ribosomal RNA (254 nucleotides) under uncultured bacterium. RNAcentral's name for it is "partial 16S ribosomal RNA". It matches the Rfam family "Bacterial small subunit ribosomal RNA", at positions 524 to 776 of the family's 1533-position model. The record is from RNAcentral.